CCUACGGGAGGCAGCAGUGAGGAAUAUUGGUCAAUGGACGAGAGUCUGAACCAGCCAAGUAGCGUGAAGGAUGACUGCCCUAUGGGUUGUAAACUUCUUUUAUAUGGGAAUAAAAUGUUCCACGUGUGGGAUUUUGUAUGUACCAUAUGAAUAAGGAUCGGCUAACUCCGUGCCAGCAGCCGCGGUAAUACGGAGGAUCCGAGCGUUAUCCGGAUUUAUUGGGUUUAAAGGGAGCGUAGGUGGAUUUGUAAGUCAGUUGUGAAAGUUUGCGGCUCAACCGUAAAAUUGCAGUUGAAACUGGCAGUCUUGAGUGCAGUAGAGGUGGGCGGAAUUCGUGGUGUAGCGGUGAAAUGCUUAGAUAUCACGAAGAACACCGAUUGCGAAGGCAGUUCACUGGACUGCAACUGACACUGAGGCUCGAAAGUGUGGGUAUCAAACAGGAUUAGAUACCCUUGUAGUC
RNAcentral lists this ribosomal RNA (460 nucleotides) under uncultured bacterium. RNAcentral's name for it is "partial 16S ribosomal RNA". It matches the Rfam family "Bacterial small subunit ribosomal RNA", at positions 338 to 795 of the family's 1533-position model. The record is from RNAcentral.